RNAcentral lists this small RNA (1673 nucleotides) under Pan troglodytes (chimpanzee). RNAcentral's name for it is "processed transcript". The record is from RNAcentral. Lineage: Eukaryota; Metazoa; Chordata; Mammalia; Primates; Hominidae.
AGCUAAGCAAUGCUACUGGAGACCAUAGGCAAAGCCAAGGUACAGGUAACGAAGCGCAGACUCCGGGCCUGGGUGGGCGGCAUCACCACCAGGUUCACGCCGAGAAGGAGCUGGAGGAGAGCCGCCCGGCUCCAGCCGGACCGCUUGCCCGCCAUCACCGUUGUAAUCUAUGCAGCAAACAAGCUGGAACCCGCUGGGUGGCACCUGCAAGCAGCCGCCCGGACGCACCCACUCUGCGGUGGAGCUGUGGAAGCCAGGCGCACAGGAUGCAAGCAGCCAGGCCCAGGGAGGCAGCAGCUGCAUCCUCAGAGAGGAAGCCAGGAUGCCCCACUCUGCCGGGGGUACUGCAGGGGUGGGGCUGGAGGCUGCAGAGCCCACAGCCCUGCUCACCAGGGCAGAGCCCCCUUCAGAACCCACAGAGAUCCGUCCACAAAAGCGGAAAAAGGGGCCAGCCCCCAAAAUGCUGGGGAACGAGCUAUGCAGCGUGUGUGGGGACAAGGCCUCGGGCUUCCACUAUAAUGUUCUGAGCUGCGAGGGCUGCAAGGGAUUCUUCCGCCGCAGCGUCAUCAAGGGAGCGCACUACAUCUGCCACAGUGGCGGCCACUGCCCCAUGGACACCUACAUGCGUCGCAAGUGCCAGGAGUGUCGGCUUCGCAAAUGCCGUCAGGCUGGCAUGCGGGAGGAGUGUGUCCUGUCAGAAGAACAGAUCCGCCUGAAGAAACUGAAGCGGCAAGAGGAGGAACAGGCUCAUGCCACAUCCUUGCCCCCCAGGGCUUCCUCACCCCCCCAAAUCCUGCCCCAGCUCAGCCCGGAGCAACUGGGCAUGAUCGAGAAGCUGGUCGCUGCCCAGCAACAGUGUAACCGGCGCUCCUUUUCUGACCGGCUUCGAGUCACGCCUUGGCCCAUGGCACCAGAUCCCCAUAGCCGGGAGGCCCGUCAGCAGCGCUUUGCCCACUUCACUGAGCUGGCCAUCGUGUCUGUGCAGGAGAUAGUUGACUUUGCUAAACAGCUACCCGGCUUCCUGCAGCUCAGCCGGGAGGACCAGAUUGCCCUGCUGAAGACCUCUGCGAUCGAGGUGAUGCUUCUGGAGACAUCUCGGAGGUACAACCCUGGGAGUGAGAGUAUCACCUUCCUCAAGGAUUUCAGUUAUAACCGGGAAGACUUUGCCAAAGCAGGGCUGCAAGUGGAAUUCAUCAACCCCAUCUUCGAGUUCUCCAGGGCCAUGAAUGAGCUGCAACUCAAUGAUGCCGAGUUUGCCUUGCUCAUUGCUAUCAGCAUCUUCUCUGCAGACCGGCCCAACGUGCAGGACCAGCUCCAGGUAGAGAGGCUGCAGCACACAUAUGUGGAAGCCCUGCAUGCCUACGUCUCCAUCCACCAUCCCCAUGACCGACUGAUGUUCCCACGGAUGCUAAUGAAACUGGUGAGCCUCCGGACCCUGAGCAGCGUCCACUCAGAGCAAGUGUUUGCACUGCGUCUGCAGGACAAAAAGCUCCCACCGCUGCUCUCUGAGAUCUGGGAUGUGCACGAAUGACUGUUCUGUCCCCAUAUUUUCUGUUUUCUUGGCCGGAUGGCUGAGGCCUGGUGGCUGCCUCCUAGAAGUGGAACAGACUGAGAAGGGCAAACAUUCCUGGGAGCUGGGCAAGGAGAUCCUCCCGUGGCAUUAAAAGAGAGUC